GAUGAACGCUGGCGGCGUGCUUAACACAUGCAAGUCGAGCGAGAUUAUUCUUCGGAAUAGUCUAGCGGCGGACGGGUGAGUAACACGUGGGCAACCUGCCUUGUAGAGGGGGAUAGCCUUCCGAAAGGAAGAUUAAUACCGCAUAAUGUUAUUGAAAGGCAUCUUUCGAUAAUCAAAGGAGCAAUCCGCUACAAGAUGGGCCCGCGGCGCAUUAGCUAGUUGGUGAGGUAACGGCUCACCAAGGCGACGAUGCGUAGCCGACCUGAGAGGGUGAUCGGCCGCAUUGGGACUGAGACACGGCCCAGACUCCUACGGGAGGCGGCAGUGGGGAAUAUUGCACAAUGGGGGAAACCCUGAUGCAGCAACGCCGCGUGAGUGAUGACGGCCUUCGGGUUGUAAAGCUCUGUCUUUGGGGACGAUAAUGACGGUACCCAAGGAGGAAGUCACGGCUGACUACGUGCCAGCCGCCGCCGUAA
RNAcentral lists this ribosomal RNA (476 nucleotides) under uncultured bacterium. RNAcentral's name for it is "partial 16S ribosomal RNA". It matches the Rfam family "Bacterial small subunit ribosomal RNA", at positions 28 to 523 of the family's 1533-position model. The record is from RNAcentral.